AAAUAAUCCAGUACUUUACACAAUGGCCGGUGCUCUGUGAUACGUCUUCUACGAGUCGAGUUGUUUGGGAAUGCAGCUCAAAAUGGGUGGUGAGUUCCAUCUAAAGCUAAAUAUUGGCGAGAGACCGAUAGCGAACAAGUACCGUGAGGGAAAGAUGAAAAGCACUUUGGAAAGAGAGUUAAACAGUACGUGAAAUUGUUAAAAGGGAAACGAUUGAAGUCAGUCGUGACUGAGAGGCUCAGCCGGUUCUGCCGGUGUAUUCCCCUCAGUCGGGUCAACAUCAGUUUUGUUCGGUGGAUAAGGGCAGUUGGAAGGUGGCACCCUCGGGUGUGUUAUAGCCAGCUGUCGCAUACAUCGGAUGAGACUGAGGAAUGCAGCUCGCCUUUAUGGUCCAGCGCGCGUUCCGCGAGCACGUGCGAGUCUA
This 424-nucleotide ribosomal RNA is filed under the name Papiliotrema flavescens. RNAcentral describes it as "partial large subunit ribosomal RNA". It matches the Rfam family "Eukaryotic large subunit ribosomal RNA", at positions 213 to 609 of the family's 3401-position model. Lineage: Eukaryota; Fungi; Basidiomycota; Tremellomycetes; Tremellales; Rhynchogastremaceae. The record is from RNAcentral.